Long non-coding RNA from Polistes dominula (European paper wasp), 523 nucleotides. RefSeq lists it as uncharacterized. Lineage: Eukaryota; Metazoa; Arthropoda; Insecta; Hymenoptera; Vespidae. The record is from RefSeq and is a predicted model, not a curated record.
AAAUAGAGAUUAAUUUGAUGUUUGUGGCAAAUUCCAUAUCAGUUAUCAUGUCACCUUUUUGACCUAUGAUCGAAAUGAGGUAUAUAAAGCGAGCUCUGUUAACUUAAAGAAGAUCCUAUCGCGAAUUGACUCUUGGAAAUAUCAUUUAGUGUUUGAAUUUUCAACUUUAAUAAGUGUUAAAACAAGUUAAUCAAAUCGAUAUGAAGAUCUUUCACUUUAUAUACUUAUUCCUCGUCAUUUUGACCUACAUUUCUUUCACCAAUGCGGCCUGCACGGAAGAUGAGUGUAAAGCCGCUUGCAAACACGUUGGAAAUAUUCCCGGUGGAAAAGGUGGCAAGUACUGUGUCGAUGGUGCUUGCAAAUGUGCUAUGGUGCGUCCAUAAUGAUUCAAAGGCCUCUUUUUUAACGACGAUACUUAUCAAUGUAUAUCAAUAAUCAGGAUGAUCAAACGACGCCCUAGUCGUUUGUCAUCGAAAAUGUCCUUCUCUAUAUGUAAAUAAAUAUUUUAAAAUAUAACGUCAAA